GAUGAACGCUGGCGGCGUGCCUAAUACAUGCAAGUCGAGCGAACAGACGAGGAGCUUGCUCCUCUGACGUUAGCGGCGGACGGGCGAGUAACACGUGGAUAACCUACCUAUAAGACUGGGAUAACUUCGGGAAACCGGAGCUAAUACCGGAUAAUAUAUUGAACCGCAUGGUUCAAUAGUGAAAGACGGUUUUGCUGUCACUUAUAGAUGGAUCCGCGCCGCAUUAGCUAGUUGGUAAGGUAACGGCUUACCAAGGCGACGAUGCGUAGCCGACCUGAGAGGGUGAUCGGCCACACUGGAACUGAGACACGGUCCAGACUCCUACGGGAGGCAGCAGUAGGGAAUCUUCCGCAAUGGGCGAAAGCCUGACGGAGCAACGCCGCGUGAGUGAUGAAGGUCUUCGGAUCGUAAAACUCUGUUAUUAGGGAAGAACAAAUGUGUAAGUAACUAUGCACGUCUUGACGGUACCUAAUCAGAAAGCCACGGCUAACUACGU
This 496-nucleotide ribosomal RNA is filed under the name uncultured bacterium. Its description in RNAcentral is "partial 16S ribosomal RNA". It matches the Rfam family "Bacterial small subunit ribosomal RNA", at positions 28 to 506 of the family's 1533-position model. The record is from RNAcentral.